CAAUAGCGUAUAUUAAAGUUGUUGCAGUUAAAAAGCUCGUAGUUGGAUUUCUGGUGGGAGCGAUCGGUCUGGCGCUUAGCGCGAGUACUUGCAUCGUCUCCGGCCAUCCUUGGGGAGAGUCUGUCUGGCAUUAAGUUGUCGGGCAGAGGAUCCUCAUCGUUUACUGUGAAAAAAUUAGAGUGUUCAAAGCAGGCUUAUGCCGUUGAAUAUAUUAGCAUGGAAUAAUAAGAUAGGACUUUGGUACUAUUUUGUUGGUUUGCGCACCAAAGUAAUGAUUAAUAGGGACAGUUGGGGGUAUUCGUAUUCCGUUGUCAGAGGUGAAAUUCUUGGAUUUACGGAAGACGAACUACUGCGAAAGCGUUUACCAAGGAUGUUUUCAUUAA
This 383-nucleotide ribosomal RNA is filed under the name uncultured eukaryote. Its description in RNAcentral is "partial 18S ribosomal RNA". It matches the Rfam family "Eukaryotic small subunit ribosomal RNA", at positions 592 to 976 of the family's 1831-position model. The record is from RNAcentral.